UGUUAAAAAUCUUAUUCAUUUCUACUAUUAAAAACUAACAUGACUGACAAAAAAAUUAUACAGUUACAUGUGACAUGCCAUGUGUAUCUAAUUCUGACAUAUAGGGACCAGUUUUUAACGAUGAAAAUGGAUGAAAUUUUAAUA
This 144-nucleotide microRNA precursor is filed under the name Gossypium arboreum. RNAcentral's name for it is "MIR7502 microRNA precursor family". It matches the Rfam family "MIR7502 microRNA precursor family". Lineage: Eukaryota; Viridiplantae; Streptophyta; Magnoliopsida; Malvales; Malvaceae. The record is from Rfam by way of RNAcentral.